This 2116-nucleotide long non-coding RNA is filed under the name Homo sapiens (human). RNAcentral's name for it is "non-protein coding BVES-AS1:12". The record is from RNAcentral. Lineage: Eukaryota; Metazoa; Chordata; Mammalia; Primates; Hominidae.
CCUCGCUCCCGCGACUCCGCUGCGGGUCUGCACACCCGAGGACUCGGUUUGAAACGCCCGCUUAUUUAUUUUCUUGUCGCCUCGCUACAAGAUUCUAUCCUUGUUUGGGCAUGAGUGGGGGGCGGCAGUCUCGUGGGACCGGCGGCAUUCGUCGUUCCUCCUUACGGGGAUAAUUCGAGAAGUGCGGUCCGGGUAGGGAGAGAAAUCAGGAGAGAAAAUGAGAAAGAGAAUCCUCGUUUCCCCUCAAAGUUGGACGACCCACUCGUAUAUCUCCUUUUUGGGAGAUUCGCCCAUAACUCAGCACAAACAGGGAAUAGCCCGGAAAGCGCGCGAGUUCCCGUCCGAUUGUGGCGGGGGAGGCUGAACGUUUGGUCCACACGGGUGCAGGACGCGGGGGUCAGGCCUCCUGCUGCGGAGGAAGAGGGGGAAGAGGCCGCGCGGGAGGGACUUCUGACACGCGCCACUGUUUUUGUUUUCAAACAGGGGUACUUAACCGAAACUAGCAAUCCCAGGCGGUACAAGGCCCUCCAUCGUAGGCAAAGCACUACCUGAAUGUAGAUUUGGGCCAUACGUUGGAAAAUAAGACAUGAGAGUAUGCUCCGAUCAACUUUUACUGUUCACUGGACAACUAUUUUGGGAAUUUGCAGACCUAUAAAGCCCAUCUAUAAAUCUCAAGCAUGUCCACUUUCAGAGAAGAGAAAUGCUGACAACCAUUUAGUCUCUGAGGACAACACUUUUAAAGAGCCAGAAAGGUACAUUUCCUCUUCAUGUGUUCUCACUUCCAUCCUUUACCUCGGUGAAAAGACGUUUUCCUUCCGUACACUCAUCAGUCCAAGAGGGAUGAAGCUUGUGGAAAUUUUGCAGCAGCCUUCCCUGACCAUGGUGGCCUGAAGUGCACCUUUUAUACAGGACUCCAUCAUAGGACUGGAGAGAGAUUGGAUGUCAGAGUGAUUGAUGUGCUCCUACUGGAAGAAGGCAAACAUCCAUAUGUGAACUGCCUGUGGGGUUUCCAAGGAAAGGAACGGCAGGCAGCCUCUAUGAGCUUAAAGAAGAUAACUGGGACUUUAGUCCUAUAACCUCAAGGAACAGUAUUCUGUGAACCAUCUGAGAAGCUUGGAAGAGGACCCCAAACUCCAAAUAAGAAGCUCAGUGUGUCUGACACCUUGACUGCAGGCUUGGGAGGUCCUGAGCAGAAGAUCCAGUUCAACAGUGCCUGGACUCCUGAUCCACAAAAACUGAUAACAAAUAUUUAUUGUUUUAAGAUGCUAAGUUUGUAGUCAUUUUUUAUACAGCAACAGAAAACUAAACACACACAUAAACAGUUAUAAGUGCUCACUGUAUAUGAGGCUUUUCAUUAAUAAUCUAUAUUUUAUAAUAGAAUUAGAAUAUAGAUCUGUGAAGCUGAAGACACUCAAUCCUUGCUAGAUUUAAAUCAGGAAAAUCAGCUGAGAAUCAUUCCUUGAUAGAACCUGGAAAACAAGACCCUAUGAGAGACCCUGGGAAUUACAUUAAAUUCACUGUGGUUCCCAGUGUCACUGAAGAGGUUUUCCUUUCAUAGUCAGGUAGUCACCAUACUGUUAAGCAUUUGAACACAUGGGCAACUUCCAGAAUAGUUAUGACAUUGAUAUACCAAUCUCCAAAAUUCCUAGAAUACCAUGUUUUCAUGGUUGACCUUCAAAUCAGUCAGUUCUUUGUAACAUUGAGCCAUAAAGAUAGGGCAAAUACUUAAUGUUUUACAUAUAUUCAGAGAUUGACCCUCAAAAUACAGCCCAGAGAAACUCAAAAGAAUUAACUCUAUUUCUUCAAAUUGUGUGACGCCACCAAGGCCAGAUGACUUCAGCAUUGGGAAGGCAAUAUCCAGCUGUCAUCUUCUUGAUCCUCAUAUGCUACUACUAGCAUCUAGCAUUUACUGAGCAGAUAGUUUUAUUGUCCAGUUUUUAAAGAUAAGAAAAUUGAGGUAUUAGGAAAGUUAAGUUGGUUGCCUAGGGAAACACGAAGAUAUAGCCCAGAUUCACUCCCAGGCAGGCAGAUGCCAGUGUCUGCUCUCUUUACCACCGAAAUAUCCUGCUACAUGUACAAUUUCAAUAAAUAUCUGGACUUACUGGAACAAAACAAA